This is a long non-coding RNA of Manihot esculenta (cassava), 424 nucleotides long. RefSeq lists it as uncharacterized. The transcript has 3 exons. NCBI's taxonomy places the organism in Eukaryota, Viridiplantae, Streptophyta, Magnoliopsida, Malpighiales, Euphorbiaceae. The record is from RefSeq and is a predicted model, not a curated record.
CUCAUCUCCCCCGGCAACUUCCAAUCGAAAUGGUAAAGCAAAUUAGCGAGAGGAAGCUCAAUAUUGGCAAGACCAAAACUGAUACCUGGGCAUAUUCUCCUUCCAGCUCCAAAUGGAUCUUUCCAGUACUCUGGAUCUCUCCCUAUAGCCCAGACAUUGACGAUUACUUUUGUUUUUUCUGGGAUUUCAUAGCCACCAAUCUCACAUGUUUCUUUGCUUUCUCUUGGAAUUAACAAGGGAUUCUUGGGUUCCUGAUCAUUUCUGCUAAAGCCCAUUCUGUUGUUGUUGAUGAAGUAUCAGUUCCAGCUGCGAACAGAUCCUGGAGAAAAUUAAAACAACAGAAUUAUCACGUUAAUCACUUAGUCUACUGUAAAAAUAAUCGACAAAAAAACAGGUUUUGAAGUAGAAAUACUAACCCAAAUGA